This 497-nucleotide ribosomal RNA is filed under the name uncultured bacterium. RNAcentral describes it as "partial 16S ribosomal RNA". It matches the Rfam family "Bacterial small subunit ribosomal RNA", at positions 28 to 507 of the family's 1533-position model. The record is from RNAcentral.
GAUGAACGCUGGCGGCGUGCCUAAUACAUGCAAGUCGAGCGAACAGACGAGGAGCUUGCUCCUCUGACGUUAGCGGCGGACGGGUGAGUAACACGUGGAUAACCUACCUAUAAGACUGGGAUAACUUCGGGAAACCGGAGCUAAUACCGGAUAAUAUAUUGAACCGCAUGGUUCAAUAGUGAAAGACGGUUUUACUGUCACUUAUAGAUGGAUCCGCGCCGCAUUAGCUAGUUGGUAACGUAACGGCUUACCAAGGCAACGAUGCGUAGCCGACCUGAGAGGGUGAUCGGCCACACUGGAACUGAGACACGGUCCAGACUCCUACGGGAGGCAGCAGUAGGGAAUCUUCCGCAAUGGGCGAAAGCCUGACGGAGCAACGCCGCGUGAGUGAUGAAGGUCUUCGGAUCGUAAAACUCUGUUAUUAGGGAAGAACAAAUGUGUAAGUAACUAUGCACGUCUUGACGGUACCUAAUCAGAAAGCCACGGCUAACUACGUG